This 497-nucleotide ribosomal RNA is filed under the name uncultured bacterium. Its description in RNAcentral is "partial 16S ribosomal RNA". It matches the Rfam family "Bacterial small subunit ribosomal RNA", at positions 28 to 507 of the family's 1533-position model. The record is from RNAcentral.
GAUGAACGCUGGCGGCGUGCCUAAUACAUGCAAGUCGAGCGAACAGACGAGGAGCUUGCUCCUCUGACGUUAGCGGCGGACGGGUGAGUAACACGUGGAUAACCUACCUAUAAGACUGGGAUAACUUCGGGAAACCGGAGCUAAUACCGGAUAAUAUAUUGAACCGCAUGGUUCAAUAGUGAAAGACGGUUUUGCUGUCACUUAUAGAUUGAUCCGCGCCGCAUUAGCUAGUUGGUAAGGUAACGGCUUACCAAGGCAACGAUGCGUAGCCGACCUGAGUGGGUGAUCGGCCACACUGGAACUGAGACACGGUCCAGACUCCUACGGGAGGCAGCAGUAGGGAAUCUUCCGCAAUGGGCGAAAGCCUGACGGAGCAACGCCGCGUGAGUGAUGAAGGUCUUCGGAUCGUAAAACUCUGUUAUUAGGGAAGAACAAAUGUGUAAGUAACUAUGCACGUCUUGACGGUACCUAAUCAGAAAGCCACGGCUAACUACGUG